RNAcentral lists this ribosomal RNA (696 nucleotides) under Pseudomonadota bacterium. RNAcentral describes it as "bacterial SSU rRNA". It matches the Rfam family "Bacterial small subunit ribosomal RNA", at positions 28 to 723 of the family's 1533-position model. The record is from RNAcentral. Lineage: Bacteria; Pseudomonadati; Pseudomonadota.
AUUGAACGCUGGCGGAAUGCUUUACACAUGCAAGUCGAACGGUAGAGGGGGCAACCCCUUGAGAGUGGCGAACGGGUGAGUAAUAUAUCGGAACGUGCCCAGUCGUGGGGGAUAACGUAGCGAAAGUUACGCUAAUACCGCAUACGAUCUAAGGAUGAAAGCGGGGGAUCGCAAGACCUCGCGCGACUGGAGCGGCCGAUAUCAGAUUAGGUAGUUGGUAGGGUAAAGGCCUACCAAGCCAACGAUCUGUAGCUGGUCUGAGAGGACGACCAGCCACACUGGAACUGAGACACGGUCCAGACUCCUACGGGAGGCAGCAGUGGGGAAUUUUGGACAAUGGGCGAAAGCCUGAUCCAGCCAUUCCGCGUGCAGGAUGAAGGCCCUCGGGUUGUAAACUGCUUUUGUACAUAACGAAAAGGUUUCUAUUAAUACUAGGAGCUCAUGACGGUACUGUAAGAAUAAGCACCGGCUAACUACGUGCCAGCAGCCGCGGUAAUACGUAGGGUGCAAGCGUUAAUCGGAAUUACUGGGCGUAAAGCGUGCGCAGGCGGUUAUAUAAGUCAGAUGUGAAAUCCCCGGGCUCAACCUGGGAACUGCAUUUGAGACUGUAUAGCUAGAGUACGGUAGAGGGGGAUGGAAUUCCGCGUGUAGCAGUGAAAUGCGUAGAUAUGCGGAGGAACACCGAUGGCGAAGGCA